RNAcentral lists this ribosomal RNA (486 nucleotides) under uncultured bacterium. RNAcentral's name for it is "partial 16S ribosomal RNA". The record is from RNAcentral.
GUAGUUAGCCGGAGCUUCCUCCUCGGCUACCAUCUUCUUCUUUUCACCAAGGACAGAGGUUUACAAUCCGAAAACCUUCUUCCCUCACGCGGCGUUGCUGGGUCAGGCUUGCGCCCAUUGCCCAAUAUUCCCCACUGCUGCCUCCCGUAGGAGUUUGGACCGUCUCUCAGUUCCAAUGUGGCCGAUCACCCUCUCAGGUCGGCUACCCAUCGUCGGCAUGGUGGGCCGUUACCCCGCCAUCUACCUAAUGGGACGCGAACCCCUCCUAAAGCGAUAAAUCUUUGACCCCUCCCUGAUGCCAGGCUGUGGUCUCAUGCGGUAUUAGCACCGAUUUCUCGACGUUAUCCCCCUCUUUAGGUCAGGUUGUUCACGCGUUACUCACCCGUUCGCCACUAAAUGUUCCGACCGAAAUCAAAACAUCUCCGUUCGACUUGCAUGUGUUAGGCACGCCGCCAGCGUUCGUCCUGAGCCAGAAUCAAACUCUGA